GCAGCUGCAGGGUGUGACCUAUUGGGA
This 27-nucleotide non-coding RNA is filed under the name Homo sapiens (human). Lineage: Eukaryota; Metazoa; Chordata; Mammalia; Primates; Hominidae. The record is from RNAcentral.